CAAUUAAUUGAGCAAGCUUGUCUCAGACUGGGGGUUUUUCAGUCCACUCCUGCUUAGCAAAUAGAUGUCCCAAAGCAGUUCAAAGGGAAAGUGAAACUGACAUUCUCAAAUGUCAAAUGUUAUAUAAAAACCCAAAGAGAAGAUCAGCAGGAGUCUAGCAGACAACCUCAGCUGCAAGAUGUCUCCCAUCCCUCUAUUUAUCUUUGGUGGUGUGCUCCUCGUAUGCCUGAUGCAACAAUACCUGGUGUAUAAGUCUUCUAAGAACACUGUUAAAGUCUUCUGCCAUAAAGCCAAUGAUGUACAUAUAUACCAGAUCCCGGUCGUCAUAACAAACAUACUGGAAACCUCAAGUGGAAAAAGCCACCCACUGGGUCAUUCGGGAGAGAUCCAGCCUUUAAAGAAGCAAAACUAGAGGCCAAAAUAAGUCCUCCUCCUUCUAGAUGUGCAUAAUCCCCUUCUUCCUUCCCUAGAAGACUGAGGGAGCCAUCUUUCACAGCGAGUUUAUUCAGUGAUACAGGUGGAGCUCAGAAGUAGACACUUGCCUUGCCUCUAUUAGGACUUGAUUGGACCCAAAUACCACAAAAUUCUUUCUCUCCGCUGAGAAAAUGGAAAUUUAAGAUGGGAGCCAAGCACUGUGUGGUGUCAACAUCCAUGAGCAUGGUUUAAUAUACAUACCAUGUGCUUGUUUUUCUGCUUGUGAACUUGUGAGAUAGAAAAACUCCCAAGUCAUCCACUUUUACUUGUUAUCAUUCAGUCACAUAAUAAAUUUGGAUUGUGCA
RNAcentral lists this long non-coding RNA (779 nucleotides) under Mus caroli (Ryukyu mouse). RNAcentral's name for it is "lncRNA (MGP_CAROLIEiJ_G0005285.1)". Lineage: Eukaryota; Metazoa; Chordata; Mammalia; Rodentia; Muridae. The record is from RNAcentral.